Long non-coding RNA from Diospyros lotus (date-plum), 319 nucleotides. RefSeq lists it as uncharacterized. The transcript has 2 exons. Lineage: Eukaryota; Viridiplantae; Streptophyta; Magnoliopsida; Ericales; Ebenaceae. The record is from RefSeq and is a predicted model, not a curated record.
UGUUAAAGUCUCAUUUCUUCUCCCCUGUUCCUCUAUUGCAAGUUAGGGUUUUAAGAGAGUUAACUCUCCAUGGCGUCUCGGGAAUGAUGCUGUGAUUUCCUUUUGCUUUGGAAAUCUUUGGUUUCUGGUUUUGUUGAAGACCAACAGUUGUCUUUACACCCAGUUGCAAACAAAACUUGGGAUUAGACACUAGAUUCAGCUUGGAGCAGAGAAUCUCAAAUCCAAGUCAAGAAGAGUCCUUUGUUAAGACGGCAGAAAUUUAACUUCAAUUUGUUUAGCAGCUACUCUCUCUUUAAUGAAAUCAACAUUAAUCUCUCAA